Molecule: ribosomal RNA, 253 nt
Filed under: uncultured bacterium
Lineage: Bacteria
Description: partial 16S ribosomal RNA
Rfam family: Bacterial small subunit ribosomal RNA
Source: RNAcentral
UACAGGGGGUGCAAACGUUGCUCGGAAUUAUUGGGCGUAAAGCGCGCGUAGGCGGUUACCUAAGUUGGAUGUGAAAGCCCUUGGCUUAACCGAGGAAGUGCAUCCAAAACUGGGUAGCUAGAGUGUGGAAGAGGGUCGCGGAAUUCCCGGUGUAGAGGUGAAAUUCGUAGAUAUCGGGAGGAACACCAGUGGCGAAGGCGGCGACCUGGUCCGAAACUGACGCUGAGGCGCGAAAGCGUGGGGAGCAAACAGG